CGAGGAUCACUGGUGAGGAUCAUUGUCAAAGCCUCAGAGCCAACCUGCUGAGUCAGUUCCCUCACCUGUAAAACGGUGGCUUUAGACUGGAAGAUGCUGAUGGUCUGCUGGGCUUGAAAGUCCGAUAUGUCUCUGAGCCUUUGACUUGGAGCCAGCAGCCUCCUGGAUGAUGGCCCUGAGGAGACUCUGGGGUUCUUUUCCAGCUCUUGAGCCUGUUUGGCAGCCACAGAUGGGCCUCCAGGGCAGAAGGAAAGCCAGGAGCCAAGAGGCUGCCUUGUGUGAGUGAGCGAUUUGUGCAAGGAUGAUUUGUGAGGGCAGAGCCCAGGGCAGCAGGGCUGGGUUUCCUGGGGCUGCUGGUGAACUCCGACAUCUGCUAUUUUUCACUCCAGUGAGACCGAUUUGCUCCAGAUAGGGCCCUGCAGACUGUUUUCAGCUGUGCUGGGAAGUGUGGCGGCUGGCUGUGUUUCAUCUCCAAGCCCUCUGCGAGACAGCGUAGCACGUGUUAACUGCUUGAGCAGAGAGGCCAGUGGAUUCUCCAUAGACCUCAACUCCAGAUGAUCCUUUCUGAGUAGACUUUUAUUCCCUGAGGUGUUACCUCUACUUCAAAGGAAUGUCUGCCCUCGAUCUGAGGGGCUGCCUGACUUGGCCCACCCCUUACGAUUGCUGGCCAUGGAUCUGAGAGAAUGCGGGUGUAGCACCCUGAAGGAACCAUUCUGCCGUCUCAUCUUGAGUUGGCCUUUUUAUGAUGAGUUAAACAGUCCUAAGCUAACAGCCCAUCAGAACAGCCCAUUGCAGCUGAUCUUCCUGGCAAGAAGACCUGUCUUCUGGAACUCUUCUAUACUUGCUCUUCUCGGAAAUCCUGGCCCUGCACGCCUCUUCCAUCCAUACGUAAUUAGCCAAACUGUUUUCCAAAUGGACUCUGCUGAGAGGGAGGCAGAGAAUAAAGCUCAGCUUGCUCUUCAUUCAUUGGGGAAAGAAAGGCCUGGGUCUUAAUGAAAAAUAAAGAAUUCUGCAGACGAA
Long non-coding RNA from Talpa occidentalis (Iberian mole), 1020 nucleotides. RefSeq lists it as uncharacterized. The record is from RefSeq and is a predicted model, not a curated record. The transcript has 3 exons. NCBI's taxonomy places the organism in Eukaryota, Metazoa, Chordata, Mammalia, Eulipotyphla, Talpidae.